AGGAGCACUUUUAAUGACGACUUUUAAGGCAACCAGCGCACAAUGGCAAAACCAUAGAUGGAAAGGUAAUUUUCAUGCCUCUGAAAUGAGAAUAGGCGCAGCGUUUUACCAUUAACACUCUGUAUUUUGCAGGUGUCUCUGUCGCCCUAAGUGUAUUUGACGGCUUAGCAUACGAGUUUCAUAAGAAAUUGGUAGGUUUUGGUUCUGCACAAGGGUUGUCGUAGCUACUAUGUUAAAUAAUUUGACCAUGUGUUAUUUUGCUCUCCGUAGUGUUCUAAGGUUACACUAAUCCCUGGCUCAUUUAUGGCGGGUUGCAAGGAGCCUUAUGCAUACCUUCUUUUUUUGUAAAAGGUUCCUUAAGCCUAAGGAGCUUAAACUUUGACUGUAGUGCCUAGAGUUUUCUAUUAGUGCAGUUUCUUCUUGACUUUACAUUGUGUGUUUGAUCCAAAGUUACAAGGUCUGCUUAUUUGGAGUUAUUAGCAUACGUGUUGUUUUAUUGGUUUUUGAUGAUAACAUACUUUGAUCUGUUUGUUUAAAAUAUACUUAUUUUCUCAUUUAUCAUCUCCUCAAGAUUUCUAUGCUCACAGUCACAUCUAAGUUGUUUUCUUUUGUAGGCAAAAUGGCUUAUGGAAUCAUGGACGGUCCCUCGAAGGAUUUUCUGAGAGCGUUGUGAGGUAGCAUUAUGUUCCAUCCAGCCAAUGAAUAAUCAGGAAGCUGCACAACAAACAGAGUAAUACGAAGAGAAAUUUUAUACUGAUAAUACUAAUAAAUGAAAUGCAACUUUGAAUUCAGUUACGACACUACACACAUAUGAUUGAUUUUUGGGGAGGUUCUUGGAAAGUAUAUUUUCAGAACCUUAAUGUCACCUUGUCUCCACUUUUUAUAUUACUUUAAUCUUUAUUAUUUUUGAGAA
This 913-nucleotide long non-coding RNA is filed under the name Brassica napus (rape). RNAcentral describes it as "long non-coding RNA (BNAP_LNC009219)". The record is from RNAcentral. Lineage: Eukaryota; Viridiplantae; Streptophyta; Magnoliopsida; Brassicales; Brassicaceae.